CAUGAAUAAAGUUCUUUAUUUUCCAAUUAAUAUAUUUCGAAAUAAGUUUGAAAAAAAAAAUAACAAAUAAUUAUAAAUACUUGAGAACAUUAUAAAUAAGAAUAUGUGGUAUAAGUGCCAUUGAGAGAACUUUGCAUCCAAGUCUCAGCGAAUUUAAGCUAACAAUUAUAGGUCCAAGUACGACCUUCCACACGGAGCCUUCUUUUGAUUAGCUGACCCAAAACAGCAACAUAUAAAGGGUCCCAAAAUGACCAGUGUACACAUUUUCAAACAGUAAAACCAACGGUCUAAUCUAUUUACAAAACAACGGGAAACAAACCAGAUGCUCCGUAGGGCGCAGCUUUAUACGACCGCAGAGAUCGAACCCUGAACAGUUGGGCAAGUAUGGACACAGCUCUGAAUUUGUAUGGAUUGUGGUUAAAUAGUUGACACAAAAUAGGUUUCUGACACAGAAUGGAUGUGGUCUAAAAACUUAAAAAAAAUAAAUUGGACAUUUUCUUAUUAUGGUCCAAUAUCCAAAAUCUAAAUACAUGGUUAGAUUCAGCAAAUCAAAUAACCCCAAGAAUUCGUUUAUGAUGAAAUUAAAUAAAGUUCAAUUUUGGACCCUUUAGAACUCAAUGUUGACCAAUUUGACACGGGCCCAAACACCAAAAACAUUAAUACAUGGUUAAAUUCAGCAUAUCAAAGAAC
RNAcentral lists this long non-coding RNA (690 nucleotides) under Mytilus galloprovincialis (Mediterranean mussel). Lineage: Eukaryota; Metazoa; Mollusca; Bivalvia; Mytilida; Mytilidae. The record is from RNAcentral.